Molecule: long non-coding RNA, 1353 nt
Filed under: Sus scrofa (pig)
Lineage: Eukaryota; Metazoa; Chordata; Mammalia; Artiodactyla; Suidae
Description: lncRNA (ENSSSCG00005000684.1)
Source: RNAcentral
AACGCAAAUCCCAGCUGCCGGGGGGAGCCCUGCUCCCUCGCAGCCCUGGGCUCCCCAAUGCCCUAAAUUUCAAAUGCGCUUCUCCGGACCAUUUAUUUCGAUUAGAACCAGGAGGGGGCCAGCAUCAGGAUGGGUGACCACGUUAAACGUGUGGCCACCCUCUCUGGGCCGCCCACCCCGCAGAGGUUGGAGGGGAGCUCAGCUCUGUGACCGAGCGCCCAACCCUGACCUGUUUGCCAUGUCGCAGUCCCACUGCUGGGUGAUUCUGCACGGCUGCCAGCCUGGCUUGUAAAAAGUCCCUGCAUUUCCAAGGAAACGCAAGCAUUUGCCCCACAGGCCACCCUGGCACCCCAGGGGCAAGCGGAAUUUCUGUAACUUCUAGGGCGUGUCGGGGGCAGAGCGGGGAGUGGGUGGCCAGACAGGACAGGCUGGGAGGUCAGUGUCCUCUUUUCUGGAGCGUGGAGAGAGGGGUGCCGGCUCAGGGGGUCCCCAGGUGUCCUUGCUGGCUGGACGCCUCCAUCCCUGUGGGCUCAGAAAGACACGGCAGCCAUUCCUCCCAGUGCAGGCUUGCAGGACAUGGGUCCAGGUCAGUGUCCUCUUUUCUGGAGCGUGGAGAGAGGGGUGCCGGCUCAGGGGGUCCCCAGGUGUCCUUGCUGGCUGGACGCCUCCAUCCCUGUGGGCUCAGAAAGACACGGCAGCCAUGCCUCCCAGUGCAGGCUUGCAGGACAUGGGUCCAGGUCACGAAUGUCUCGAGGCUGUGGAAGGACUGGCUGUGACCAAGGCCUGAUGUUCCAGGGACAUCCCCAGCAGCCCAGAGGCAGCUCCACUAGUCCAGCCGUCCGGCCCCGAGCCAAGGGUGGUUCCGGAGGAGCCCGGGGAGUUCGUGUCUGGAUGACAGGUGGCUCUACCUGGAGGAAGCCAGGGUCAGCCCCAUGUUAUCCCUCAGGCUAGGGGUGGGGAGAGGAACGGGGAGCCUCUCGGCUUCCCAGGACGGAGAUGCAUCAAGCUGCCGCCCCUUUGAGCAGGGAAAGCUCAGCUCACGGGGCCCCAGAAGCCAGUGGGGGCCUUAGGCUUCCUGCCUCAGGAGCAUGGGUGGGUGACCAGACUCCCGGGCAGGAACGGCCUCUGCAUGUCACAUCAGGCGGGCGCCUCGUGCUGGGCAGCCGGCAGUGGGAAGGCCACUUGUACGCAGCCCCUGCCGGCCUGGCCCUGGGUGGGAGGGCUCCCCAGUGUCCUCAGGCACGGCUGCAUCCACAUGACCCAGUGCGCGUGACCAGCGCACUGUGCUGGAGUGCGGCCACCAGCCCCUGUAGGAAUGCCAGGCUCGGUCCUCAGGACAGGUCUGGCGCCUUC